UGAGGAAUAUUAGGCAAUGGGGGAAACCCUGACCUAGAGACGCCGUGUGAAGGAAGAAGGUCUUUGGAUUGUAAACUUCUGUCGUGGGGGAAGAUAAUGACUGUACCCCAAAAGGAAGUACCGGCUAACUCUGUGCCAGCAGCCGCGGUAAUACAGAGGGUACUAGCGUUGUUCGGAAUUAUUGGGCGUAAAGGGUGCGUAGGCUGUCUUUUUAAGUCAAUUGUGAAAUUCUGGAGCUUAACUCCAGCGCUAUAAUUGAUACUAUAAGACUAGAAUAUGGAAGGGGUAGAUGGAAUUUCCAGUGUAGGAGUGAAAUCCGUAGAUAUUGGAAGGAACACCAGAGGCGAAGGCGAUCUACUGGGACAUUAUUGACGCUGAGGCACGAAGGCGUGGGGAGCAA
RNAcentral lists this ribosomal RNA (400 nucleotides) under uncultured bacterium. RNAcentral's name for it is "bacterial SSU rRNA". It matches the Rfam family "Bacterial small subunit ribosomal RNA", at positions 355 to 771 of the family's 1533-position model. The record is from RNAcentral.